This is a long non-coding RNA of Sarcophilus harrisii (Tasmanian devil), 969 nucleotides long. RefSeq lists it as uncharacterized. Lineage: Eukaryota; Metazoa; Chordata; Mammalia; Dasyuromorphia; Dasyuridae. The transcript is spliced from 4 exons. The record is from RefSeq and is a predicted model, not a curated record.
GUUCUCUCUCUGGAGGAGGAAAGCAUUUUUCAUGCAAUGGGCAGUAUUUCAGAGCAGGACUGUGAUGACUCCAUGGCCUCCCCAGCUAUUCCAUAAGCUCUCAUCCAGGGGCAGGUGCAGAGCAAGGAAUCUGUGGAGUGAAGGAAGAUGGGUGCCUGUUCCCAUGCUUUGGACAUAUUCUCACCAACAUUGCCAAACACCUUCCACGAGGACAGAAUGACAUCAAGGUCAGCUACCACACUGAUGGAAGUUUCUGAAGAUCACCUGGCAAGAUAAGAUCCAGGACAUUGAGCACCUUUCUCCAGCUGAACUGCCAAGCAUUCUGACUUUCUGCAGAGAAUGCAGUCAUAUGGGCUGAUCAUGUUCAGAUGCCAAAAGUACGCUUUCCUAAAAGACUAUUUUAUGGAGAUCUUACACAAGGGAGGUGCUCACCCAGAGGUAAGAAGAAGCAAUACAAGAUACUCUCAAGGUCUCUCUGAAGAAUGUCGGGGCAUGGGAGAUACUGGUACAAGACUUCUUAGCAAAGAAGCUGAUCUGCUACAUGAGCAAAGCUGAAUUACAAUAGCUCAAAAGAAACAUGAGAUGCAUAAAUUUAGAUAUCUCCACACCAAAUGUUCAUAUGGACCGUGUGCCCUACUGGUGGUAGAGCCUUCCGAGCUCAUAGUGGCUUAAUCAGUCAUUGUCAGACACACUAUAACUUGACUCUGACAUAGUAAUCUCAUUUUGGUUCUCUUCAGACAAGACAACACCCAACCAACUGCGUGCCUGGCAUUGCAUUAGGUAGUGGGGGGACAGAGAUAGAAUAAUCCUUGUAUUUGAGAGGCUUAUGUUCUACUGGGGAAAAUUAUAUGUAUACACACAAUUAUAUGAAAAUAUAUUCAACUGAUUGUUCUAACAGAAUUGAUGAGCAGGUUGAUUUCAGAAAAGCCUAGAAAGACUUACAUGAACUUAUGUUGAGUGAACCAAGAG